This 467-nucleotide ribosomal RNA is filed under the name uncultured bacterium. RNAcentral's name for it is "bacterial SSU rRNA". It matches the Rfam family "Bacterial small subunit ribosomal RNA", at positions 62 to 524 of the family's 1533-position model. The record is from RNAcentral.
UCGAACGGCAGCACGGAGCUUGCUCUGGUGGCGAGUGGCGAACGGGUGAGUAAUAUAUCGGAACGUACCCUAGAGUGGGGGAUAACGUAGCGAAAGUUACGCUAAUACCGCAUACGAUCUAAGGAUGAAAGUGGGGGAUCGCAAGACCUCAUGCUCGUGGAGCGGCCAAUAUCUGAUUAGCUAGUUGGUAGGGUAAAAGCCUACCAAGGCAUCGAUCAGUAGCUGGUCUGAGAGGACGACCAGCCACACUGGAACUGAGACACGGUCCAGACUCCUACGGGAGGCAGCAGUGGGGAAUAUUGGACAAUGGGCGAAAGCCUGAUCCAGCCAUGCCGCGUGUGUGAAGAAGGUCUUCGGAUUGUAAAGCACUUUAAGUUGGGAGGAAGGGCAGUAAAUUAAUACUUUGCUGUUUUGACGUUACCGACAGAAUAAGCACCGGCUAACUCUGUGCCAGCAGCCGCGGUAAU